Musa acuminata subsp. malaccensis (wild Malaysian banana) is the source of this 1457-nucleotide long non-coding RNA. RefSeq lists it as uncharacterized. The record is from RefSeq and is a predicted model, not a curated record. NCBI's taxonomy places the organism in Eukaryota, Viridiplantae, Streptophyta, Magnoliopsida, Zingiberales, Musaceae.
UCCGCAAGAUUGCCCGUCUCCAAUUCUCUUAAUCCGAUCUCUCUUUUGAUUUCAUGGGAUUCUGUAUCUCGGAUAAGGUUCUUUUUGCCGGUGGACACUUGUUCUUGUCGCUCGCCAUUGCUAUGUCACCGUUCGUCUCCUAGCCUAGGGUUUUGCACCAACGAACGAGGAAUUGGGAUGUGGCAGCUGGAUAAUCUUGGGAAGAACAGACCAUGAAGAUGAAGAUGUUGCCUACAAUCCCUGGCAUGGCUCGGAUAAUUUAGGGAGUCAGUGCUGUUGUUUGGCAUCGUAUUCUAUGCUCUCUGUGCUUUCAUAAAGGAUGGUCCAUAACAAGGUGCUUGAUAUUUGCUCUGUUCCUCACAAUGUGUUGCUAUCAGACCUUUGUCUUAUGUUCGUUGCAUUAUUGACCAAAUGUGCUCUUCUUUGAAGCAAUGGUGCAGAGUCAUAGAUGAGAUUCUGUCGAUGAAAGAUAUUGCAUUGUGUAGAAUCAUUUUGAUGGCUGUUAAUCUGUAUCACUCACCAAGGUAUCUCAAGCAGUUUCAGAAGCAGAAUCUUGUGCCGGAGGGCCAAGUAGAUAUAAGUCGGUGGCUAUCGACCGUGAAAACAUGAACAGAGACCACGAGACGAGCGAUACCGAUGAGCCGCAUCAGAAUGCAACUUGAAUUGGUCAGUGAACCGAACCCUUUUUUUCUCCUGUUGAUGUGGAGGCAAUAACUUUUUCUCUCUUUUUUUUGUUUGCAUCAAAAUGAAACACAUAAUCUAUUUCUUGGCGGGUGGUCACCCCCUCUCCUUAUUCUAAGGAUCUCAAGAAAAUCAAAGUGGCAACCCAAGUGCUUCAAACAUUGCAAUCGCUUGCACUGCUUUACCCGGAGAAAAACUAACGUGUAAGAAGUGAAGUAGCCUGUUGGGCGUACCCGAGGAUAGCAGGAAAAAUAUUCCCGGAUAAGCCUCAGCUCACAGUUAUCGGGAAUCAUCCCUAUGCCCACCUCGCAAGAAGGGACAUCAAACCUGCACCCAGAAGAAGUGCAAGAUGUGCUCCGAAUUGCAGCCUUCCAUUACUCUGCAUUCUGGGGUUCUUGAAAUCAGCGGCCAAGAGAUCGACCAGAGACAUGUAUAUUAGAAUUCCUGCAGAGGCAGCAUUGAAGAUGCCUUGGAUGAUAAGAGCAGUCGAGCUAGUCUCGUCGUAGCUAGAGGAAAUCGCAAUGCCGAGGGAGAUGCCGAUCGGAGCUGUGAGAGAGAAGAAGACUGCCAUGAUCACUGUUGCCUUGGCUCUGAACUUUGCCUGCCAGGGUAGAGGCAACAUAUGUAACAAGGCAAAACAUCAAAGCAGUAUCACUGUAUCAUCAAGUUUGAUAGUUUUAUGAACACUAAAAUGAACAAUUUCUUAAGCCGGUCGGGUUGUGUUGCUGAACACUAAAUCAAGUCAAAAUAUGCCAUAUUAUUGAUCUUAAUGUUAA